UUGUUUGCGGGUGUAGCAUCAUCAAGAUUCACAUGCAAAGGCAAGGUGGAACGAUGACAGUGAUGGAUCUAGACUAUGUGUUUAAAAAUAAAUUGACACAAAUAUAAAUAAUAAAAUUUAUUAACUCCAAAUCUUUGAACCGCCUGGACGAUGAUAUGAUAUGGCCAUGGUAUUUUCAAGGUGAGAAUCUUGAUGAUGCUGCAUCAGCAAUAAA
Molecule: microRNA precursor, 214 nt
Organism: Nicotiana attenuata
Lineage: Eukaryota; Viridiplantae; Streptophyta; Magnoliopsida; Solanales; Solanaceae
Rfam family: mir-172 microRNA precursor family
About the family: mir-172 has been experimentally verified in Arabidopsis thaliana.
Source: Rfam